GCCGUAGUUCAGUUGGUUAGAGCGUCAGAUUGUGGUUCUGAAUGUCGUGGGUUCGAGCCCCACCGG
Molecule: transfer RNA, 66 nt
Filed under: uncultured Prevotella sp.
Lineage: Bacteria; Pseudomonadati; Bacteroidota; Bacteroidia; Bacteroidales; Prevotellaceae
Rfam family: tRNA
About the family: Transfer RNA (tRNA) molecules are approximately 80 nucleotides in length. Their secondary structure includes four short double-helical elements and three loops (D, anti-codon, and T loops).
Source: RNAcentral